RNAcentral lists this ribosomal RNA (465 nucleotides) under uncultured bacterium. RNAcentral describes it as "partial 16S ribosomal RNA". It matches the Rfam family "Bacterial small subunit ribosomal RNA", at positions 28 to 507 of the family's 1533-position model. The record is from RNAcentral.
GACGAACGCUGGCGGCGUGCUUAACACAUGCAAGUCGUACGGUAAGGCCCUUUCGGGGUUACACGAGUGGCUUACGGGUGAGUAACACGUGAGUAACCUGCCUACAACUUUGGGAUAACGCUAGGAAACUGGUGCUAAUACUUGCUAUGUGCUCCUGCUUCAUGGUGGGGGUUGGAAAGCAACGGCGGAUGUGGUUGGUCCCGCGGCCUAUUGGCUUGUUGUUGGGGUAGUGGCCUACCACGGCGGCGACGGGUAGCCGGCCUGAGAGGGUGACCGGCCACAUUGGGACUGAGAUACGGCCCAGACUCCUACGGGAGGCAACAGUGGGAAAUAUUGCACAAUGGGCGCAAGCCUGAUGCAGCAACGCCGCGUGCGGGAUGACGGGCUUCGGGUUGUGAACCGGUUUCAGCAGGGACGAAGCUUUUUGUGACGGUACCUGCAGAAGAAGCACCGGCUAACUACGUG